This is a transfer RNA of Felis catus (domestic cat), 85 nucleotides long. It matches the Rfam family "tRNA". Rfam says of the family: Transfer RNA (tRNA) molecules are approximately 80 nucleotides in length. Their secondary structure includes four short double-helical elements and three loops (D, anti-codon, and T loops). Further hydrogen bonds mediate the characteristic L-shaped molecular structure. tRNAs have two regions of fundamental functional importance: the anti-codon, which is responsible for specific mRNA codon recognition, and the 3' end, to which the tRNAs corresponding amino acid is attached (by aminoacyl-tRNA synthetases). tRNAs cope with the degeneracy of the genetic code in two manners: having more than one tRNA (with a specific anti-codon) for a particular amino acid; and 'wobble' base-pairing, i.e. permitting non-standard base-pairing at the 3rd anti-codon position. The record is from Rfam. NCBI's taxonomy places the organism in Eukaryota, Metazoa, Chordata, Mammalia, Carnivora, Felidae.
GCCUGGGUGGCUUAGUCAGUUAAGCGUCUGACUUCGGCUCAGGUCAUGAUCUCACAGCUCGUGAGUUAGAGCCCCACAUCGGGCU